AACCGAGUUAGGAGAGGGACCAGCUUGCUCUUGUGCGUGGAACACCCACCCGCCCUCUGAUCCCCGCAUGCCCUGUGGAAGAGUCCAUGCUGAGAUCUGAGUGGAGAAACGGAGGCACAGAGCAGAUGUUGAGGGCGUGCCCUGUGCGAGAAGGAUGUGCGCCAUCCUCACCGCGGGUCUAAGUCUCCUCUACGCACUGGUGGCUCUUCUCCGUAAGUCAGCACCGCGGCCCCUCGAGCCCUUUCCUGCUGGGCCGCUCCCCAGCCAGGACCUGCCACCCGCCCACCAUGGCGGCGCCCACGAGGCCCGGCCCCUGCGCAGGCAAUGGCUGCUCUAAGGCAGGGUCGCCCCCAAGCACAGCCUCUGCACCGCGGCUGCCGGACAGGGUUGGGGCCAAUGCUCUGGAGAUGUUUCCCCUGGGGUGUGUGCGCCCCGACUGCUCAGGGGUCUGCCUCUGCCUCCCCACCAGGCCAGGAGCCCCAGAAAUCUCAGCUUCCCAUAGGGAGACCGACCCCUCCUCCCGCUCUGGCCUCUCUUUCCCCUCCCCGCCCCGCCUCUUCCCCUCUUCUGCUCUCUUAGGCAUGGACUUGGAAUUCCAACACCUCUGCUUCCUUUACAUGGUGGCCGCUGGUGCCCUGGCGCCUCUCACUCUCACAGAGACACACACGACGCCCCUUUCCCGUGAUGCUCCCUGAUAUCUCUCUCCUCCAGCUCAGACCCUCUAGGCUCUGUGCCUGGCAACUCGGACGCUGUUAUAGAAGUGCAUGUCACAGCCGACAUCUGUGCAGUGAUGGACAACACAACAAAUCAAUGCUUGGACUAGUUUUUCCCUACUUGCUGGUUCAACCUACAGUGCUUUUUAAUACAUCUUGUCCUUGCGGACAAGGACAACAGCAGGGACUUAGGACGUGGGGGAUACGUGGCCGCUGCAGCCAGCAGCAGCGAGGGUGUCUGGGACGGCAGAGGAGAGGCCCAGCAGCCAGUGCCGAGUGCUAGGGACACACAGGUCCUGCAGAGCCCGUGUUGGUGUAGACUAUCACCCCAUAGAAGAGAGAAUGGAGACCCCGGAGGUUACAGCCAACAUCACUGUUAGAGUCACAGCCUCUCUGAGCUGGGAACGCCCUCCAGGGCCACCUGGCCAACCACCUGCCUGCAUCAGCCACGGACACUCCCCGGCAGGCGGUGCUCCCACCACGCCAGAUCCUCCCACUUCUGGCCCUUUGACAAAGUCUCCUUACAAUAAGCUCACACUUUGCUUCCACGCCCCAGGAGCCAAGCAUGAGCAGCCUUCAGAAAGGUCAUGGAAAAUGCAUAGCAGGAAGAACCACGCACGGCCCUCAAUGUCGUCCUGCACCAAAACGAACAAAUCUAUUAAUUCCACUUGCUGGGGCCUUUUUGAAGCGUCCUCGUAGGGCAGAGCCCGGCCUCCCCCACAUCUCUGAACUCACCUGGCGCCGCCUGCCGGGUCAUGGCCAAGCCAGCAUCCUCAGAUGCUCCCCAGACCACCUGGUCUCUUCCUGCUCCAAAAACCCCCACUGUUUGUUUCACUCCCUUUAGAAAUGCGGGCACAGGACCAAACAUGAGCUCCAACAACGCCUGAAUUCACUCGCCAAGCUUUUCAACCUUCUCUUCCUUGCGCAAGAUCACGGUCACUCGCUCAGGGCAGGGAUGGGCUGAGAGACCAGGAAAGGGAGGGGGACACCGCCGUCUGUGGGCUGCUCCCCUCUGUCUCCCAGGAGGAACCUCCCGCCCUGCGAACGCUGCUGGGGAGCUGGCGCCGAGCUCCGCCCUGGAGCCUGCCGUCGCCGUAUCUAUAUAUACCAGGGCGCUUUAUUUCGUGGGAAAAUGGAAUUCCAAGAGGCUCGUUUUUGGCACAACAAUUUUUGAAAUCCAUGCAUCUUAUUUUCCAUAAUACAACUUUUCCAUGAACAUUCUGAAGACCUCACAUUUGCAUGGAUUGCAAUAUUUUUUGCACCAAAAUAAACCUAUCUUUUAAUUUCCUUGACCACAGACUUACGAAGUCCCCUCACCUGCUCCCAGCAGGACUUACACAGUUGAAACCAACGUCGGCUGACGACAGGAACGCACUGGGUAGGGUUCGGAUCGCUCACUCUACACCAGUCACGUCCGAGACGGCUGCUCGAGGCUGCUCAAGUAUCUAUUCACCAGAAGUCAAGAUCAAGCACAGCAAGUGGACUGAGACUGAGACUACUGUAGGAACCCGCGCAGGCCUUCUCGUGUCGGCAAGUGAGACAAGGAGAAACAGUUGCCACAGGCGGCCCCGACCACUCUGCAGGGAGCUUGCAGGGCAGAGCUGGAGAGCUGGGCAGCGCUGGGGUUCACCACGCUGGCACGGAGGCCAGCUCCCAGGAGUGGGCGGCUUUGUUGCUGCAUGGAAGUGGCUGUGUCUCCUUGAGUCCAUCCUGACCAAGCCUGGUGUGUCCCGAGUGGCUGGGGGGUGGUCACGGCGUGGAUCGCUGGCUGGGAAAGAGCCUCCCACCGAGGGGGACCUCACACAGCUCAGAGACGGCCGUGUCUGCCUGCUCUCUCCAGGCUGCUAAGAGGCCACGGCUGCACUGAGCUGGCCUCUGCUUGGACACACCCUGCGACCUCAGCUGCAGAUAGCCCAGCAGGUGACCCGCACCUGCUCCUGAGGGAGCUGCUGAGCGCUAAUCCAGUCAUGGGCAGUGGGGCAGUGGGAGAGACUCAGUAAGCACAGUGAGUGGGCAAGCUACAUGGGGCCUUGGGGGUGGAGGGAGGGCAGAAAACAGGCCUCCUCACUCAGGGCUCCCGCACCCGCACUGUGCUCCUCUGUGAGACGAGGGGGCAGGGCCAGACGGGCUGUGAGGUCCACCACCACCCAUGAGCCGAGUGACAAGAGGGCCUUCAGGGAGCAGCGGGCUCCAGAGAGCAGAGGCGAUGGGGACGGCGACUCCGCCUCUUCCUGGCACCUGCUGCUCCUUCUCUGGGAGGCCCCUGGAGGAACUGCCUUAUCGUCGGGCAGAUCAGCAUAGGGACGAGCCAGGGCAGCUGGCCUGCUGCACCCCACGGAAGUUGGUCCUCCAGGGAUGGCCAGUGGCCCUGGGCCUUCAUGCCCCCUUGUCUGCAGGGAGUGUGCCCUGGGGCCCCAGGGGUGCCUGAAAUCAAGGCCAGCACUGAACCUGUCUUCUCUUCCUUCUCACCGCGGGUCGGAUCAACCCAGGAACGUUCAGCUUUGCACCCAGAGGAAGCACUUCCGGCUCCAGCUGCACCCAGACUGUCAGCAUUGUGGCUGUUGCCACGGCACUGCAAUGGGAGACCCGGUGGUGGCUCAGGGACUGGGGGGUGGGCAGCAGUGCAGAUGGGGCACGUGCCCUGGAGAACAGACCACCCACGGCCCAGGUAGGCGCAGGGGUGGGAGUGGGACAGUGCACAACGUAAAAUGGAUAACUCCUUUGUUUCUGGGAUGUUUCCAUUAAAUAUUUCAGGCUGCAGUUGACCCUGGCUAACUGGAGCUGCAGGACGUGAAUUGGGAGGUGGGGGUGGGGACGGCUGUGUUCCACCUUCAUGGGUUCUGUGACUCCACUGCGACCGAAGCUGACCAGAAGCCAGCGUGCAGCCCAGCUGAGGUUUGCCGGGGCCUAGGCCCGAGCAAAAGGAAGGCAGCGCCACCGGAAGAGGCUCUGCCCCCUCCUCCCCACCAGGAGGGGGCACGUGCUCUGAGGGGGCGGUGCCCGGGCAGCACUCGCACUUGGGGCAGUUCAGGUGCGAGACAGCAGGGGCCUGCCUCCCUGUCCCUGUCCCGUCUCAUCCCCAGCAGCCGACUGAAGGAGAGGCAGUCACAACACACGCCCAGCGAGAGGGGCUGAGGUGGGGAGCCAAGGGUGCUCUCAGACACGGAAGGGGGUGUGGCACUGAGUGUCUCGGGAAAACCAGACAGAGCAUAACACCAGCCGACGACAAACCUGAGCGACUCAGCCUCGGCUCUCAGCCGGCGUGUGGCGGCGGAGGUGGGCGGGUGACUGCAGGGCGAGUGACAAAGUUCCGCUCUGAAUCGGGAAGACCCUCAGGGUCUCGCUCCAGACGCACCCCAGUCGUAGGUGGGGCUGGAGGGAGCAGGCGCGUUUGCAGGGACCUGAGACCAGCACCCAGCACCGGAGGAAUGCUGAUGCCUCUAGUCAUUUCUACUGCCCUGGCCAUGGCCAUUUUUUUUUCUUUUUGAAACGUCUGUGUUCUGUAGAGAGCCCAGGGCUGCGGGCCCCUUGAGGCUCCAGCUUCCCCAGGGCAGGGACGGAGCCCUCAGCUCCUGGCCAGGGUCUGUUGUGAAAUACGAAGGCCAAUGAAUCAGAACGAAGGACCGACCCGUACUUUAUCUGCUGAAUGUUGCAGGCGCUGGGGAAGCGAGACGCCGGGCAGCCCAGCCACACGGGGUGAGGGCGCCGUCCCGGGCUUGCGCCUGCGUCUCCGUCAGCAGCUUUGGAGGCUGCAGCCCAGAGGCUGAGGUGAGGGCGUGGCUCCACGUGCAUGGGGAGAACCCCGCAGGGAGCCCCGUGAAAACACCCAGUGGGGCUUUUUCCCUCAGCCUCUUUUCCUGAGGGAGCAGACCUGCACUCCGGUUGGGUUGUGGACAGGGCCAUGCUGUACCAAUGACUCAUCGCCACUCGGGCCGCGCCAGCUGCCUCCCCGACCACAGCCCCGUCUUAGCUGAAAUGCCUUUUCUCUCUGUUUUAAGAUCCGGGUACAUGGGGGGAGCUCUGGGGUAAGUUUUUCCCAUGAAAACCGAUGCCCUGUCCUCCUGCCAGCCUCUCCCUUCCCACCCACAGAGUCGGUCAGUCUUCCCACGCUUGGGCACCACAAGCAUGCACAGCCACUGGUGGGGGCCCCACGGCCACCCAGUGCCGACCCGGCUCUCAGCUGGGAAUGGCCAGGCCAGCGGAGAGGGUGACCACGGCCGGCUUUGAUUCCAGGCGCAAUGCAGAUCGCGCAUUCCCUAGAUGUGAGGUCAAAACAGCCAGAGCCCAACCAAGCGGAGGAAGAGCAGAGGCGUCUCAAGUUCCUUCAAACUUGUUCUUGGGCAGAGAUCCUGGUAGGAGUAUUAUCAUCAGUGUGGUUCAGUGUAUCAGAAAGAGAGAGAGAGAGAGAGAGAGAGAGAGAGAGAGAGAGAGAGAGAGAGGCUUCCAUCUGCUGGUUCAUUCCCCGCAUGCCCACAAACAGCCAGGGCUGCUCCAGGCUGAAGCUGGGAGCCACGAGCUCCAUCCAUUUUCCCACGUGGGAGGCAGGGUCCCAAGUGCCUCCCAGAGUGCACACUAGCAGGAAGCUGGAUCAGAAGCAGACGAGGCAGACUCGAACCAGGCUCUCAGGUGGGACGUGGGGGUCCAAGCAGUGACCUAACCACUGUGGUGAGUGUUCACCCCCUCUUAGUUUCUGAUGGACAAGCCUUGGAAUGCUACCUUCACCAGGUUGUAAAUGUUGGCAACACCAAUAUUUGGACAAGCUGACAUCAAGAGACUCCUUGAGUGCUUCACUGGGCAGGGACACGGAUGACUUCCAGGUGUUCCUGCCAGAAAGCAUGUCCCGAACCCAAGCACAGGGAAAUAGCAGAAACCCGCACGGCAGGGCCCUCUACAAAAUAACAGCCCUGUGUUUUCCCAAAGGUCAAGGUCAAGAAAGACAAAACGGGAGACUAAAGAGAUGUCUCAACUAAGUGAAGUACACGAAUUUUCUAUUUGAAAGGCAGUUACAGAGAGGUCUUCCAUUUGUUGGUUCAUGCCCUGAAUGGCCACAACCCAGCCCAAAGCCAGGAGCUUCCUCUGGGUCUCCCAUGUGGGUUCAGGGGACCCAGCACCUGGGCCAUCCUCCACUGCUUUCCCAGGUGCAUUAGUGGGGAGCUGGAUCGGAAAUGGCACCCACACCGGGUGUGGGCUGCAGGCAGCAGCUUAACCCACCAUGCCACAGUACCAGGCCUCGAAAUACAUGAUCUUGAAGUUGAUCCCGAGGCUCUAGAAGGCGUCGUAUGAAUGACGACAUCCGGGUACAGACUGCGGAUUGGAUACUGACACUCGGGCAAGUCUGAUCUCUACGCCGCGGCUGUGUAGGAGUGUUCUCUGUUCCCAGGAAGCACAGUGAUGUUGCCAAGUCCCUGCUCAAUGGACUUGGCGCCGUCAACCCUGCAGGGAAGGUAGGCUCCAUCUCUGUCUACCGUGGAUUGGCCAAAUGUGAAACGUCGGCGAUCUCCCUCAGGGGUGUGAGGCUAUCCCCUCAAGCAGGCUUGCGACUUUUCUGGAAGUUUGGAAAUGCCACACAGGCAUCCCAGCCGUAAAUCCAACGGGACCAGGACACAGUUACCGGCUUGAUCCUCAAAAGGAAAACUUCGCAAUCUGCCAGCCGCUGUGGGGGGAGAGGGGGCCCCUCCUGCCCUGUGAUCCCUGGGGGACAGAGCGGGUCUGUGUCUGGAUUCCCAGCGCCAUGGGACUGACAGCAAGGUCACCACCCUAUUCCUGGGCUGAGCUCACUGCCGCCCGAGACCUGCAGCCGGCCUCACGGCCCAGAGCGGUACAGGGAGCGUAGAGGGAGCGCCUCCCCUUUCUCUCCACGGCAUGCUCCCAGCCUGCAGGAGGUGUAAUCUACCACAGAGCAGUCCAUGAAAGACAGAAGUAGUGGCAGAGCAAGUGUUGCUGGCUGGGGGUGCGGAGGCCGUGACUGACUGCUUGUGGGAGGGGCGGGAUUGGAUACAUGCACUCCUCACAGACCUGUGCACGAGAGGGGUGCUGCUGUGAUGAGGUCGUUAAGCUGCCCCGUGCGACACUCCAGCAUCCCACGUUUCAGUGCCGGUUCAAGUCCCGCUGCUCAGCCUCUGAUCCAGCGCUCUGUUAUGCACCCGGAUGCUGGGGUCCCUACCAUCGAGUGGAAAGCCUGGAUGGAGUGCCGGAGCCGGCUUCAGCGUGACCUCGGCCUGGCCAUCGUGGCCAUGUGGGGACUGGGCCAGCGGGUGGAAGAGAUCUUUCUCUCCUUUCCUCUGUCCACCUCACCCCCUUCAGUCUGCCAUAAGAAGGAAAAAAAGCCAACUAAAAUGUGCUUCAGAGAAAGGUCACCGCCUAAAAGACAGCAGGUUCCCAGGAACAGUGACAGGGGCAGCGCUGUGACCUGGGCGCCACGCCUGUGCCGUGGGUAGUGUGGGUUCUACACGGCGUGGCUCCCCAGUCCCGGCUCGGUGCGGGGUCCCUGACAGCUCCGGUCUGUUCCUGCCGGAGACCAGUCGUCUCAAGGGAAGUGGUCGUGAGGGGUGCAUGUUACCUGUGGGAGCUGGCAGCCGGAUCCACGAGUGUGCUCUCAAGGUGGACGCGACCUGGUGACGUCCCCACGGCCCAGGCUGGUCUUCCUCAGGGGUCAGAGGCCACCUCACAGUCAUCUCCCAGGUGACUGGAGGAGCAGGCGCAGCUUCCACACUCGAACUUUCGACCUGACCUGUCCAGGUUCAUUCACGCCCUUCGCCAAGGAGCGUGCUCAGCGAGAUCCCGCGGCAGCGCCUCCCUCGUCCCUUCCUUCUCUCGGCCUGCCAGGAACACCUUCCUGUGCCGGGUGUCACACGUGUGCCGGUGCGUGAAGAUUCAUGAUGCAUGUGGGCUGCCUCCUCGGAGCUGGUGCUGGCAGAGAGGACGUGACGGCCGCGACAGGUGUGCCAGCCCCGUGGCCACAGCUUUCCCUGCCGCAAUUCAACAAAAUGAGCUUAGGAGCGAUCCACGACUGUUGUGAAUGGCUUAGCAAACAUCUCUACCCCGACUUGGAUUACACAGAGAAAAAAAAAUCAUACAACCCUAGGAUGGGACCCCAAACUGAUCAGCCCAGUAAGGAGUAUCCGCCCCCGAGAGUCCUGCCCCCAGCCCAGAGCUAACCACGCACUGUAGAACCAAAAGUGUGUUUAUUAAUUCAUUUUUAUUUAUUUGAAAGGCAGAGCAACAGAGAUAGAGAUAGCAAGAAAUGAGAGAGAUUGAUCUCCCAUCUGCUGGUUAACUCCCCCCAGAAUGAACAAAAUAGCCAAGGCUGGGCCAGGCCAAAGCCAGGAGCUGUGAACUCCAUCCAGGUCUCCCAUGGGGGUGGCAGGGGCCCAAGUAUUUGGCCCAUCAUUUGCUGCUUUUCUCAGGCCAUUAGCCAGGAGCUGGGUCAGAAGUGGAGCAGCCAGGACACAAAUCAACAUGUGGGAUGAGCCAUCCCGCACUGCCUCCCAUGGACUUCAGCAGGAAGCUGGAGCAGAAGUCGGGCGGGACUUGAUCCUAAGUGGUGGCCUAACCCAUUGCACCACAGCACCUGCCUCUGAUCACUUUUACACCCAACUCACGGCUCCAUGGACAGGAUCCUGUGUUAACUGUAAAAUAACUCAUUCUGCUCUCACCAGGCUGCACCCACCUGAGGCUGGGACUGAGUGCCAGCCACGCUUUUAUCAGCCCCACCCAUCCCUGGGCAGGUGGUUUGCCUUGCAAAUCAGGCGGGUAAUUACUGUGGUUUGCGUUCAGGAGAGGCUGUGCUGGAGGGGACAGAGAAAGGGGAGUGCUUACCCUGUUUGCGAUUUGAGUUUCUUCAUGGCCCUCUUAAGGAAUGCAGGUUUUUAAUAAGCACAAAAGAACACUUUGCAAUGGAUAAAACGAGGCUCUUCUUCAGCCUGUUGCUCCUUAGCCAUGUUAUCUUUAUGCGGUCAUUAUCAUCUCCAGGCUGGGAACUCCCAACUAUGCUAGAACUCACUGAUUUUAGUACCCAUUGAUUCCAGGAUCCUUGCGGCCAGUAGUUCUCAGGACAAAAGCCUCUCUCCUUGAGGUUCUCUGUGUCAUCUUUGCAGUUUUUCCCACCGCUUUCUCUUGACACUGGAAGGACUCCGGGAAAACUGCAGCCCAGCAGAAGACGUCCCAUAAACACCCCGUCAUCUGCGUUUCCUAUCAGGGCCCCUGACAAACCACGUGUUUUCAAAGGUAAUUGGGAGUACAGAGACAAUUUAAGGGUCAUUAUUGUGUUAGCCAAGAAAAUAGCUAAUGAUGACUUCAGCUACUGGGCUGUUCAGCCGAUGUUAGGACCUAUUAGCUCAAUUAAGUAAAUCAAAUAGGAAAAGACAUUUAGACUUGAAAAGCCACCACCCCCCACGACUUGCCUGGCAGGCCAUUUCGUGGUGAAUCCUACGGGCUUGUGUACUCUGUUGAAUGAGCUGAUUUGGCCAACGUACUGCCUCAGGACCACUUGGCAUUUAUAAGCAAAGAUCACGUUAAAUCCCAAGGCCAAGAAUGCAGGUAGGAGGGUCAGUUCAGCGGGCAGAGGCAGGCAUGGGAAACAGCUGUGCAUUUUCCUCCCUGAAGGGAUUUUCUCCCACCCUGCAGUGGUCUUUAGGUCUCUGCAUGUAGGUUGAUGCUCCAAACCCUGCCAGCCCCAAGUGUCUACAGCACCUGGAUCUGGACCGCGCCCCCGAGAGGACGGAGGCUCCUGUGGUCUGGGAUCCUUCUGCUGGGCAGCGCAGAGGUUUGAAGUGAGUCGGAGAGAAAACAGCCCUGCUCGCGUCAUUAACAGUUGCUCUCUGGUUACGACAUUCAGACCACGGCACUGCUGGAGGCCGUCGGUCACGCUCGGCUUUGAUGGAGCGGUAUUUCAUGCCGCAGCAGUUUGGCCCCCGACACAAUCAGCGGUCAGCUGAGGGGCGCCUGCUGCUGGUCUCGGUGGACCCUCCCCUGGUGGCAGCUGCCAUGUGACCAAGGUGGGCCCCUCGCCUCAUCUGACUGCCGGGCAGCUCAGCGAGCAGCUUCGCCGCCGGCGCCGGCAGCUCCUGCACACUCCGGUGUGGCGCAAGAGGAGAGAGGGGAGAGGAAUGGUUGCCUGUAACUGGAAUCUGAGCAUACGCCUCUUAGACACACCUCAGGCUUCCGCUCCCCGCAGAGUUCCUCCCCUUCAGGGGGAGGUGUGGGGCCGCUGACCAGAGCACACCUGUGAGGGACUCGGCUUCAGGCGGGCUCCCUGCCUGCCGUGUGACUGAGAGGAGCAGAGCCUCCCAUGCCCCGGGACUCCUCUGGAAGUGCAAGUCCUUCUCCCUUUCGGCUCCUGGGCACGCAGCUGAGUGUGGGCACUGAUCGUGGGCCUGGAACAGGCACGAGAAACGAGGGAGGACGCACGCGCCCGAAGCUUCCUAGGGACUUCCCAGGAUCGAAGGUUCCUCUCUCAAAGACUGGCCUUCUCGUGGGCUCUGCCUGGGGGCAGGUGCAGGCCUGCUUCCACCUCCCUCUGGCCCAGGAGUGCCCUCAUCCCAGCCCCACCCAGGGUCCGUGCAAGCUCUCCUUCCUGCCUUGGCCAUUGGGUCUGAGAAAUGAAGACGCCCCCUUGUCCCGGCCCCCACGUCUCCGCUCAGUCCUGUGUUACGAGGUGGCCACCAGAAUACCCUCUCACGCCCACGCUGAGACACUCAGCGCUGGAAGAAACACGGGAAUAUCAACAUGUAAAACCCACACAUGCGACGUGCCCCUUGACACAACAUCCCAGCCUAGAGAGACUGGUCCCCUGUUCAGCUGUACCUUAGGACUCACUUCUGUCCACGAUGUUGCCCUUCCAAGAUCAUCAACCGAAAACCAGCCUGCUAUGGAUCUGGGGGACGUCGAGUCCCACCUGCGGUUGCCUGGGCAAGCCAGACGCGUCCCACUCCAGGGCCAAGGUGCACUCUCCCCUCCGUCCGCAUUUUCCCUUACGUGCUCUGUUUAGUUCUAGAGGAUGGCAAGCACUUUCUUGAGCCGUGGGCGCGGACUUAGGCAGGAAAGCUACACUGUACCUGUCAGCUUCCUUCCAGGAACAGGUGACUGAGAUGUGGACGGGGCGGAGAACCAGCCGCACGACUGACGCUGGUGGAGCAGCGAGUGCACACAGGGGAUGGCACUUCUGCCUUCUCUGUGCUCAGCCGGCGGCUGGGAUGGCAGACGCGCUGGGGGCUGGAGGGCGGCGUGAAGACACUAGGAACACGCAGAGCCCGUGGUCCCGGCCAGGUGUUGGCGGUGUCAGCUGUGUGCCAUCGCCGCUGACUGGCAGGCCGUGCAGCUGAGCCACGGCGUUGGUGGGUGCAGGAAGCCAGCACCCUCUCCACCCUGCUCCUGUGUGUCCCUCGGUUCCCGCCCUCCCCAUAGCACCCAUCCGAGUGUUCGCCUUUCUGCAGGUGCAGAGAGGAACCAUGUCAGGAAGCUGUCGGACACUCACCCUUGUAGGGUCUCAGGAUACAGCUCCGCAGCCCAAGGAUUUACAAAACCACGUAAGCUCGGAAGGGAAUGGAAGUGUGUGUUCAAAUGAGGUGAUAGCCAGAGGGCAGAUGUCGGAUUUCUGGCCUUUGUUUGACCACUGAGAAGUUAAAACUGCGUUGGUUUUUUACCUCUCAGAAUCAAAAAGGAAAAUGGGAAAUGGGAGUGUGUGUCAAUUCUACAGGAGAUGCAGCAUGCCGAUGUUUCAGCAGUUAGGGAGAGAAUACGUCUGUUUCCAAUUACACAAACCGGUUAAGAAAGGCAGUUUAAGUCAGCUGAUGUUUUUUCCUUUCAUUUUCUGUGAUUUAAACCAGCUCAUCUUUCACUGUUCACGUGGCGUCGAGGAACUGGGAUGAUUGGAUUAAAAUAUCCACAGUUGUUGCCCUGGCUGUGUGGAUGCAGGACCAGUGUCUAUGCAGGCUGCCUACCUCUCUAACAAGAACUUUAGUAUUGUUUUAUUUAUUAUUAUUUUUAUGAAAUAGAGCACCUGAAGAGGAAUUAAAUGUCUAUUUCCCUCUUUGUGAUUCUCUUAGGCCCAUAAAGUGAUGCCAAUUGGGUCAUUAGUUACAAACAACACUGUCAGCACAGAGUGAAAUCAGUAAUGAACUCGAUGUGCCUCACCUUCACUUACAUCCUGCGUGUCAGGGACAACGUCUUAGCAGCGACAAGCCCGGUAUGGCCACCCAGAGCCUGGACUCUGCAGUGGAGGCCAUGGGUACAGACCUGUACUUGGAGAGACCCGGGAGAAAACGGCCACCAUCGUCCUGAUGCCUCCGUCGUCCUGGGGGUCUCAUAGGCUUCCUCAUCGUGGCCAGUGGGGGCCCAGUCGCUAAUCCUACAGGUCGAAAGCUGAAGAGAGUCCUGAAGACUGCAAAGGGGCUGGAGUGAAGAUGAGUCGCUCCGAUGUGGAGUUGAAUUCCGGCGCUCCAGGGGUGACGUGCGCUGUGCACAAGGGACGUCUCAGGUGGCCCGAGUGACUCGUGUGCCCAGGGAGACCUGAGCAGGUGCAGCGUCCCGUGAACAGGAAGUUCCACAGUAGCUCACACGACUCCCACGGACCCAAGAGCAGGUGAGGUGUGCUAUUCCGCGGGUGGGAGCCCUGCGCAGGUGCAGCGUCCUAUGAACAGGGAGGCGGCGGUCCUGUGGCGCUCCCACGUCUUCUGCAGGCCAUUUCGGAGUAUCGAGGCAGCCCUUCAUAACGAGUACUCAGCAGGGACGGUAACAUUUUGACAGUAUGGGGACAGGGCUCUGCAAACUCUUCAUUUCGAACCCCAUUUUUACUUAUUUUCAGAUAUUUCUCACAGACCCAGAGCUGCUGAUAAACACACCUUAAAAAUUUAAACUGGAUCCAGAUGAAAUAUAUGGUAUUUAUAAAUUAUAAAAGGCAUCCAUUAGACUAGGAAAGAAGGUUAAUGGGAAUUUUUAUGUUUUUCUCUGAUUGUGAAAUGUGUCUUUUUACAGAGAGCUUAUUUUCAAGUGGAAUUAGUUUAAUAAAAACACUACUGAAAAGAAGAGAGUAAUCCCUCACAUGAGAAAACACUACGAUAAUUAUAGACUUUCACCUCGAGCACCGUAUAUUACUUUGAAUUAAUACUCAGUAUCAAUAAAUACAGAAACAAUAGAAGGAAAAACAGAAUCGCAUGUGUUUCCUCAAUCCUAAAAAUUAACAUUGUCUUAACAAUUUUACAUCAUUCCUUGGAAAAUUAAUUCAUCAUUAGAUGUUUUCAAUAAUACAAGAACUGGAAACGUCUGUAAGACAGAAACAGAACAAAAACUCAGAGCUUGUCUAAGCAAUGAGGAUGUUCCUGUUGAACACAGAAGUUCUGAACUUGUCCUCUCACUUGGUCAAGGCUCCCCAAAACACUCAUUCAUUUUCAUUCUUUCUCUCUCCCUCUCACUGUUAAAGAUUUAUUUAUUUAUUUUGACAGGCAGACUUACAGAGGGAGAGACAGAAAGAGCUCUCUGAUCCACUGGUUCAUUGCCCACAUGGCCACAACAGCUGGGGCUGGGCCAGGAACUCCAUCUGGGUCUCCCAUGUGGGUGGCAGGGGCCCAGGGGAUCCUUAAUGUCUCUCCACCAGGGCCCUGCAGGGCACAAAGAUGCACACUGGGGUGGGCCCCAGGGGUCUCCAUGUGCCUCCCUCACAAGCACAUGGCUGAUGACUUGGCUGGGUGCGGCAAGGUUCACUGUGGCUCAGCAGAGAGCAGCCUUAGGAACAGCGGGUAGCACUGGCUGACGGCUGGGAGCUGCCGAGGUUCCAACCCAGCCAGGCAGAAGCAGACACGCUAGGAAAGCCACCCUUGGAGGAGCAGGAACGUGCCCCAGCGUAAGCCUGUUGCAGACAUGACCUGGUAAAGUCUAGAAUGAGACCACCUCUGCACAGGUUCAGCUCCACUAGCUUGGAACUGAGCUGUCUCCUAAAGCGAAGCCUGAACUUCCCCAGGAAGAUGAGGGGCUCCUGAGACUCCAAGACCCUUCAUCCGUGCUGUUGAGAAAACAAUAAAAAAGUACCAGGAGAAAAGCAAAAUGUGGGAAAAUGUGACCAACAGUCAGGGGAAAAGCAAAUAAUUCACGUCAAAGUAGGCCGGAAGAUACUACACAGAUCAUUAAGGCCGAUAGAACAGACAUGUUCCAAGGACUUAGAGAAAAAUAGUAUCUUAAUAAUGAGUGGUUAGGGCAAUUCAACAGAGAAAUGGAAAAAAGAAAUGAAAAUUCUUGAGAAAAAGACUAAAAUAACUUGGAUUUUUAAAACAGGGGGCAAGCAUUGGCCUAGUAGGUAGGACGCCCACAUCCCGCAUGGGAGGGUGUGAGUCUGAUUCCCGGCUCCAGCUCCUGGUUCUGCUUCCUGCCAGUGCAGACCUUGGGAGCGAGCAGCAAAUGACAGAUCAGGCACUUGAAUCCCUUCAGUGUAGAAGACUGAGUGCUGGGUAUUUGGAGAGUGAACUCUGUGUCUCUCAAAAGUACAAAUAAAGAAUAUAAAUAUCUUUUUAUGGGGUCAGUUUCUCUCAAGUCCACAAACAGAAAGGAUAGUGCAGCAGUUGUCCUUUGGGCUUGUUUCACUCAGCAUCAUGGUCUCUGGGUUCACCCCUGUGGUCUCGGGUGGCAGGCACACAUUAUCUUCUGGCUGUAGAGUAGUCCACUAUGAAUAUUCUACACUGUCUUGAUGCAUUCUCCAAUUGAUAGGUAUUGGGCUGAUUCCAUGUUGUGACUACUGUGAAAAGAGCUGUGUUCAGCUUGGAAAUGAAAAUAUCUUUUCGGGCCGGCGCCGUGGCUCAAUAGGCUAAUCCUCCACCUUGCGGCGCCGGCACACCGGGUUCUAGUCCCGGUUGGGGCGCCGGAUUCUGUCCCGGUUGCCCCUCUUCCAGGCCAGCUCUCUGCUAUGGCCAGGGAGUGCAGUGGAGGAUGGCCCAGGUGCUUGGGCCCUGCACCCCAUGGGAGACCAGGAAAAGCACCUGGCUCCUGGCUCCUGCCAGGAUCAGCGCGGUGCGCCGGCUGCAGCGGCGGCCAUUGGAGGGUGAACCAACGGCAAAGGAAGACCUUUCUCUCUCUGUCUCUCUCUCUCACUGUCCACUCUGCCUGUCAAAAAAAAAAAAAAAAAAAAAAAAA
Molecule: non-coding RNA, 14831 nt
Organism: Oryctolagus cuniculus (rabbit)
Lineage: Eukaryota; Metazoa; Chordata; Mammalia; Lagomorpha; Leporidae
Source: RefSeq, a predicted model, not a curated record